This 497-nucleotide ribosomal RNA is filed under the name uncultured bacterium. RNAcentral describes it as "partial 16S ribosomal RNA". It matches the Rfam family "Bacterial small subunit ribosomal RNA", at positions 28 to 507 of the family's 1533-position model. The record is from RNAcentral.
GAUGAACGCUGGCGGCGUGCCUAGUACAUGCAAGUCGAGCGAACGGACGAGAAGCUUGCUUCUCUGAUGUUAGCGGCGGACGGGUGAGUAACACGUGGAUAACCUACCUAUAAGACUGGGAUAACUUCGGGAAACCGGAGCUAAUACCGGACGAUAUUUUGAACCGCAUGGUUCAAAAGUGAAAGACGGUCUUGCUGUCACUUAUAGAUGGAUCCGCGCUGCAUUAGCUAGUUGGUAAGGUAACGGCUUACCAAGGCAACGAUGCAUAGCCGACCUGAGAGGGUGAUCGGCCACACUGGAACUGAGACACGGUCCAGACUCCUACGGGAGGCAGCAGUAGGGAAUCUUCCGCAAUGGGCGAAAGCCUGACGGAGCAACGCCGCGUGAGUGAUGAAGGUCUUCGGAUCGUAAAACUCUGUUAUUAGGGAAGAACAUAUGUGUAAGUAACUGUGCACAUCUUGACGGUACCUAAUCAGAAAGCCACGGCUAACUACGUG